GCUACGACUUGAUUCGGCAUUGCAAUUCUAAUCCAGUCAUGGUGUGAAGUACAGGAGGCCCGUUACCAGCAAGAAAGAAGAAGAAACUACAUAUACCUUGGCUUUGUUAAUUGGAUCAUUUACUCCUCUACUGUGAGGGAUGUACAUUUUGUGAUGAAUCAAAUUUUCCCACAUGGAUGCUCAUUUGAGAAAGGGCUUCUACCUGGGCUAGUGACCUUUCCGAUGUUGCAAUGAUCUGGGUGGCUGCCUCUGCUCAGGAAUGGGUCCAUAUGUGGGUUCAGGACGAAGAGGACUUUGACUCCCAACUCUUUCUUGAUCACGGAAUUUCUACUCUUUGAAUGUCAAUAGCCACAAUAGCAGGUCCUCUAUCAUUUCAUAAUGGAAGCAAGGAUGUGCAUCAUGGAACAUAUCACGUGAAAUCCAUAUUAUAUGGUGGUAGAUGAAAGGUGAGCUAUACAAUUAACCAGUUUUCAACUCAUAUAAUUUCUGGCCUUAUGUUUUAGGUUUGAAAUUUGUUUGCUAAUUUUCAUGGUUUAGUGAUAUACAUAUAGGAGAUUGAUGAAUGCAAAAGUGUGCGGAUUUCUUGUCUUAGUGUUUGAAGAGUUUUGUGUCAUGGAAGAGGGGGAAGAGUGUGAUGUUACUACCCAGAGUGGAGGGGAUGAGUCAUGAGAUGAUAAAUGCUUGCUUUUCUUUUUACCAUUUCUAGCCACCCAAUUUGGAAUGACAUUCAAAAAUGGAAAUACCUUAAUUAGUCACCAAUAUGUGCAAGGGAAAAAGAAGAAGAAGAAGGCAAUGAAGCCAUAUUACUAUUGUUUGCUCUAGGCAAUUCAAUUCUGAUUCACCUGAAGAUCUUAGACAAAGUCCUCUACUUGUUACAAAUAGCAUUCGACCAACAGAUUAACAUAUACCUUGUGGGCAGAUUAUUUCUGACGGACAAGGAAGAUAAGAUCAAUCUCAAAUAAGAAACCCCAUCAAGGAUGUCAAGAAUUCAGUUGAGGAAGGAAAUGAACAUGAUCUAGACACUACCACUCACAAAGGAAGUUGAGGAAGAUGAUGCCUCCCAAAUAUAUUAUAUGAUCACAGAAGAAGCUCAUUAAUCUAGUAGCCAGCGAGUAUUUGAAGUUAUAAGCAUGGAGAAUGGUGUAGUGCGCUACAGUGUUGAGUUUUGAAGUGAUGAAGAUCUUUUGACCUCAGAUUUCAUAUAUUGAGGCCCUAAUAUCAUCUAUUUUCUCCUCAACAUCAGGGUUAUUAUGUUGAAGAUAUCAAAUUCUAGCAUGUAGGGAAGUAUAUUUUGUGCUCAAGCAAAUUCUCACACAUGGAUACACUUUCGAGAAAGGCCUACAGAAGAAACUCCUUCAUUUCAUUGUGGCAGUAAAGCUUGCCUAUCGUAUGACACAUGAAAGGUUUAAAAGUUUGAAUCUAGAUGCAAGUAGACUUCUUGUCUUAGUGAUGUGUUUCUUGUCAAUGAAGAUGGCGACAAUUUGGUAAGUACUUCCUAUUUGUUGCAAGCCGUAGUUGCCCAUUGUGAAAAGGACAUCAUAAAGAGUGGAGAGGAGAAGAUAGGACGAGUCCAAAAAUUACUUGAUGUAGGCACUUAAAUGUUAAUUCUUCUAUAGAAUAUUUCUUACUCUUUGGCCCUUGUUCAAUCUCAACCUCAUAUCAUAGGGCUUUUUGUGAAAAGCUCUGUUAUGACUUCAAAAAUGCUGGUAAUACUAUAAGUCAGACCUUGGGGCCAUGGAAAGUGUCCUCUGCUUAAACAAUGUGUAGUUGGGGCGAAAGCAGGAGCCUUGUGCAUUGGUGACAACAAUUCUAUGAGUUUGAAGAAUUUCGUUACAUGGAAGUGCGUGAAGAACACGAGGUGACCAUAAGACAAGAAGAAGCGAUAAAAUACCUUGGCUUUGUUAGCAGGCUUUGGCUUAGAUUUUCUUCUUGACCACUUACAUGGGGUAGCCCGGUUGAUGUUCAAUGCAAGGGCUAAAGCUAAGCUUGUGGCUUUGGAGGUUAGGAUUGCUGACUUGAAGAAGCUGUUGGGGAUGCUGGAGUGAAAUAUUUCGUUACAUGGAAGUGUGUGAAGUGCAUGAGGUGACCAUAAGACAAGAAGAAGCGACAAAUUACCUUGGCUUUGUUAGUUGGAUUAAUCUUCUAUUAUUUCGGGAAGUACAUUUUGUGAAGAAGCCAAUUGUCACUCAUGGAUGCACAUUUUAGAGAGUGCUACAGAAGAAACUUCUUUAUCAAAUUUUUUUCAGGGGCUGGCUAUGGUCAUGACCACCUGCCCUUUAUCUGAAGUCCAACCAUGGUUGACUAAUGGAUGCACAUAGACUCAGUUAGACUUCAACCAAUUGGUUUAAUUCAAAACUCUGGUCCAUAUGCCCUAAAUCCCGGCCACUAGGAAAAAGUUAGUCACUUUACAAGAGACCUCAGAGGACGGAGAAAACAUGUUCAGCAAGCACUUGGGUAUGCAAGCAUGGAUUUUGAACUGCCAAAGGAAAUAGGCUUAUCAGUAGUUCAUCUGUGGCAGCUGGGAAUGGUGUCAGUGUCACACCUAUUGGACAUGUGGUGCUUUUACUACUCCGCCGAGUUAUUCUUCUAUAGAACGUACAAGGUCUACCUACUACUACAAACUUUUCUUAACAGACGAUCCUGCUGAGUGCUAAGGAAGAAUCUAGCAAAUUUCACUCCAUGGCAGCAAAAGUAAAUAAACAUAUUACAACAC
This is a long non-coding RNA of Quercus lobata, 2713 nucleotides long. RefSeq lists it as uncharacterized. Lineage: Eukaryota; Viridiplantae; Streptophyta; Magnoliopsida; Fagales; Fagaceae. The transcript has 13 exons. The record is from RefSeq and is a predicted model, not a curated record.